UUCCUCGAGAUGCGGAGCAUAUGAGGACGGGAAACGACGAAAUAAAGUGUUUAAUGUUACGCACAAAAUGUGUUUUGUAAUAUCAUAUCGUUUUAUAACGAUAUUCAUGUGCUGUAUGCCGCUAAACUUUUGUCAGACAUUUUUUUCCACUCGCGAUGGGGAACAGACGAGAGCGCUGUGCAAUUAACGUUAACUUAGCUCUAAACUUUUUCUUUGAGAGAUAACGUUAUUUCCUUUCACUCGCGAUGCGGAGCAGACAGGACAGUUUUAUUAAGGAAAACACAGAAAGUAAGUGUUUUACCUCAUUUACAUUAUGUAUAAUAUUACAUUAUGGCCACAUUAAUAUGUACACAUUAAUAUUGCACCUAAAGGUUUCUCACAGUACAUGCUGUGCCCUCCUGAACAUUUUCUCAGAAAGAGAUUUUCUUUCAAUCACGAUGCGGAGCGGACGGGAAAGUUGGUUUUUAUCAAGGAAAAGUGUUUUACUUCAUUUACAUUAUGUGUAAUAUUACUUUAUGAUGAUAUUAAUAUCCUGCGUGCACGUAAACAUUUCUCAUAGAUCUGAAUUGCUAUGCAGUGCUGAGGUGGAGGUAAAUUUUAACAGGGAAACACUAGAAGUAAAUGUUUUAUGUCAUUUAAAAUAUGAUUUUAUAACGUCAUAUUGAUUUAUAGUGAUAUUUAUGUGCUGUGCUCUCCUGAACUUUUUCUCAGAGAGAUAUUUUCUUUCAAUCACAAUGCAGAGCAGACGGGAAAGUUGGUUUUAUCAAGGAAAAUGCCAAAAUCUGGAGCAGAAAGAGUUACCAUGGAAAUGGGGCGGAAACUCAACUGUCCAGCAGCAAAACACAUCUCCCACUGUUGUUUUCACAAAUUUCAGAAAUGGUUUAUUGUCUUAAGAAAAAGUCUGUUAGCAUCUCAACCGUAAUGCUAACUAUAAGAGGUAAGUUAGGUUAACUGUUGACUCGAGCUCUCGUUUAUGAAAGUCUGGACUUUUAAUGUUAUCUUAAUUAAUGUUACUUGCUGUUUUGCUUUUUUAUUAUAAAGGUUUUGCAGGCAAUUUGUAAUUGGAUGAAAGGAAGUAAGCUAAUUUAUUUAACCUAGAAGUAUGCAAUGUACAGUUCAUCAGAUACAAAAUUAACAUGGAGUGUGAAAAUGGGCUGAAAAUACUUUAAACAUGUUUUGAUCAUUCAUGGUAAACAAAUAUUGAUUCCACUUGUCCUGUGACUUCAGCAAUUUCAGAAAAAAAAACUUCUACGACACAGGAAGAGUUCCUGAUUUUAAAAUUUCUGAAGAGAGCUACUGACAGAGAUAUAAAAAACACAGAUUCUUCCAUGCUAAUGGCCGUGCAACAGAGUUGGAACGUAUCUCCUGUCGAAAAAUAUCUCUAGACAUUAUGAACCAUAUGACUAAGACUGAAAAUCAUCAAUAAAACACAAGUGGAUUGAUAGCUCCAACACCAAUUAGGGCAGACCUGAGCAGCUGAUCAAGGAUCACCAGAAACUCUGCAGAACUUCAGUACCCAGUCCUCAAUAAGUCCACAAUACCCAGGACUGGAAACCAGAGUUCUAAAUAAAACCAAAGUCCAUUCAGCCACAGGUCACUGCAUCUUUUGCUGUAUGCUGGAGAAAAAACAGCCAGGCUAAAGCAUUUAAAAUGGAAACUUUUGUCGUGGCUCAAAAAUCCAGGAUUGGGAUGGUGGAAGGAGCAGAAGAAGCAGAAGACCAGAGAUCGGGCAGAGAUCUACUGAUGCCCCUGAAGGAACUGUUUAACUAAUGUGUUCGGUUUAAACCAAAAAUUUUCAGCACUCACCUUCAUGUCUUUCCUAAUCUGUAAAACUUUUGGUCAUCUUUGAAACAUAAAUGUAGAUCUUUUUAAUGAAAUCUGAGAAAUUCCUGUCCCUCUAUUUCACACUUUAUGCAACUACCAUUUUCGAGCCUCAGAAAGGUAGUAAAGACAGCAUUAAUGUAAGCCAUGUGACUCCAGUUGUUUAACCUUAAUUUUAUUAAGUGAUGUGAAUGGUUUAUAAUGCAUAAAAAACAUUGCAUUUUUAUUCACACACACACAAAAAAAUCUUAUGGUGCUUUUGUGAAAAUGCGUUGGAGAUACCUAAUUUAUGAAUAAAGACGUAAUUUUGUUGUUGCUGCAAGGCAUCUGUUUAAAAAAAAUAUUUAUUUGCAUUCUGCAAAAACAUUUCUUAUGGGUUUGGAGUGACAUCAGAGUAAGUAAUUAAUGGCAAAAUUAGUAUUUUUUGGGUGAGAUGUGUUCUAAUGUGGUUAGAAUUGGUCAUUGUCCUGUGUUAUAAACAUUUUCAGUAUUUCAAAGAUUAUUGUUUUGAAAAAUCAGUUUCAAAUAAGUUCUGCUCCUUUGAAAGUUGUAUUAGAAGAAUACUGUGAAAAUAUGUUUCCCACAAAAAAUAUUGGGCAGCACAACUGUUUUCCACAUUGAUAAUAUUCUGAAAUGUUUCUUGAGCAGCAAAUCAUAUUAAAAAUGUUUUCUGAAGGGUCAUGUGACACUGAAUACUGGAGUAAUUAUGAUGAAAAUGUAGUUAAUAUAAAUUACCUUUCACAAUGUAUUCAUAUAGAAAACAGUUAUAUUUUAUAAUUUUACUGUUUUUACGGUAUGUUUAAUCAAAUGCAGGCUUAAUUUGUGAGCAGGAAAGUGUUUUUUACUUGA
Labeo rohita (rohu) is the source of this 2670-nucleotide long non-coding RNA. RefSeq lists it as uncharacterized. The transcript has 8 exons. The record is from RefSeq and is a predicted model, not a curated record. Lineage: Eukaryota; Metazoa; Chordata; Actinopteri; Cypriniformes; Cyprinidae.